AGAAAUCUGACCACCAGGCCAAGGAAUGCCUGCAGCCCAGGAUUCCUCCUAAGCUGUGUCCCAUCUGUGCAGGACCCCACUGGAAAUCAGACUGUUCGACUCACCUGGCAGCCACUCCCAGAGCCCCUGGAACUCUGGCCCAAGGCUCUCUGACUGACUCCUCGGCUUAGCAGCUGAAGACUGAUGCUGCCUGAUCACCUCAAAAGCCCUGUAGACCACCACAGACGCCGAGCUUCGAGUAACUCUCACAGUGGAAGUGCUGUGCUGCCUUCUGAAUUCUCCUACAAAAAGCAGUGGCCAGGUCGUAUGGUCCUUACAUUCCAGGAAAUUGUAAAGCUCUUCAAACUCUUCAAAUUAUAAAACUCUUCUCUUGAAGACAACCCCUUUUCUUGGCAAAGAGGUAAGAGAAAAUACCAUAAAGAGGAGGGGUGGGAUUAGAGGAGUAAAUGGACCUUACAACUUCUCUUUUGUAACCUAGAGAUUAACAACAGGCUAAAGCUUGCAGAUCCAGUUUCACAAUGUUUUUUUGCACAUGCUGUAGAGGUGAUGCAGCAGCUUCCUGAUGUCCAGGGUUUUGGUGUAUAU
Molecule: long non-coding RNA, 585 nt
Filed under: Homo sapiens (human)
Lineage: Eukaryota; Metazoa; Chordata; Mammalia; Primates; Hominidae
Description: novel transcript
Source: RNAcentral